This is a long non-coding RNA of Cyprinodon tularosa, 876 nucleotides long. RefSeq lists it as uncharacterized. The transcript has 3 exons. The record is from RefSeq and is a predicted model, not a curated record. NCBI's taxonomy places the organism in Eukaryota, Metazoa, Chordata, Actinopteri, Cyprinodontiformes, Cyprinodontidae.
GGCUGACGUUCAGGGAGCCUCUUUCACAAAAACAGCCCCAUAACACCGCUGGCAGCUGAAAAUCCCCAGACCCAAAGCCUGUAUUGAUCUUCUCAUCUCACCCUUCAAAAGGAAAGCAAGCAUGUUGAACUCCUUUUGUGGAAUAGGUGCUGCACACGGACUGGUCCACUAAUGAGUCUGUCAAAAUUCGAAGGAGCAAACGGUAAUACUUGUUACCAACUGAGAACAGAGAAAAAAGAUGUAUUCUUUUACACCAGUGUUCAGCAGGAUCCAGUGAUAUAAAAAAAUACUAAAAUAAUGGGCAAUGGCCAAUACUGCCUAUAAACGCAGUAAAUACAACAACAAAGCAGGCAAACACAGGUGUUCCAAUGUCUGACACAUGUUAGCAAAGAGGACAAACACAAAGCUUCAACUAAAUGGCUAAAUGGUGUUAUCCCUGUCUAACAGAGAGCUGCAGACAAUUAUGGGGCUAAAUCCUUUUUGAAAGAUCCCUCGCUGUAACCAAUCCAGCUUUCAUGGAUUCAGGCUAAUGGUCGAGGAUGUGUUUGUGGAUUUUCAUGAGCUUUAAUGUAUUCAUGAAGAUGGCUAUUUAUUGGACAAAGUAUUCACAAAACGUCACGAAGACGCCCCGCACCUCCCUCGCUCAGUGAGGGUGAAAAAGCUUCAAAGUUUCCUAGGACCCCCAAAUGGAUGUUUGGCUGGACCACAGAGGACACGGAGAACACAAGCUAAGUGCUUUAGCAGCGGGUGACGUUAACGCAGGAGGACAGGCUCAGUGUGGCGUGAAGCAGAAGAGUGCUGUGUGAGGUGACUUAUGGGACAAUGGGGCCGCUUUCUGCAAAUAAAACAUGAGGCUUAUCCAGAGCCUCUGAACUA